AGAAGGGCUUCCACGACGGCGACGUUUGGGGGCCUUUUCUUUUGC
The sequence is a non-coding RNA, 45 nucleotides long. It matches the Rfam family "ctRNA". From Rfam's summary of the family: This family represents a group of ctRNAs (or counter-transcribed RNAs) from p42d and related plasmids. ctRNAs are small, highly structured, antisense sequences which are involved in negative regulation. Members of this family are known to bind to the mRNA of repC causing translational repression. This model contains the predicted stem-loop structure followed by a U-rich tract which is proposed to act as a Rho-independent transcriptional terminator. The record is from Rfam.